UCCAGCAGCCGCGGUAAUUCCAGCUCCAAUAGCGUAUAUUAAAAUUGUUGCAGUUAAAAAGCUCGUAGUUGAAUUUCUGUUAAAAAUAACCGGUCUGCUUUUAUUAUUAGUAAAAGUGGUAUCUUGGCUUUUUUUUUAGCAAUAAUGUCCUUGGAGAUGUUUUUUACUUACUUUAUUGUAAUAAAUUAUGUUGAGGAUUUUUACUUUGAGAAAAUUAGAGUGUUUCUAGCAGGCUAACGCUUUGAAUACUGCAGCAUGGAAUAAUAAAAUAGGAUUUUGGUUCUACAUUAUUGGUUUUAAGAACUAAAUUAAUGAUUGAUAGGGACAGUUGGGGGCAUUUGUAUUUAACUGUCAGAGGUGAAAUUCUUAGAUUUGUUAAAGACAAACUACUGCGAAAGA
This 399-nucleotide ribosomal RNA is filed under the name Hepatozoon silvestris. RNAcentral describes it as "partial 18S ribosomal RNA". It matches the Rfam family "Eukaryotic small subunit ribosomal RNA", at positions 566 to 952 of the family's 1831-position model. The record is from RNAcentral. Lineage: Eukaryota; Apicomplexa; Hepatozoidae.